RNAcentral lists this transfer RNA (69 nucleotides) under Oreolalax major (common lazy toad). RNAcentral's name for it is "tRNA-Pro". It matches the Rfam family "tRNA". From Rfam's summary of the family: Transfer RNA (tRNA) molecules are approximately 80 nucleotides in length. Their secondary structure includes four short double-helical elements and three loops (D, anti-codon, and T loops). The record is from RNAcentral. Lineage: Eukaryota; Metazoa; Chordata; Amphibia; Anura; Megophryidae.
CGGAGUUUAAUUUAAAGAGAAUAUUAGCUUUGGGAGUUAGUUGUGGAGGUUAAAAUCCUCUAAUUCCGA